RNAcentral lists this ribosomal RNA (497 nucleotides) under uncultured bacterium. Its description in RNAcentral is "partial 16S ribosomal RNA". It matches the Rfam family "Bacterial small subunit ribosomal RNA", at positions 28 to 507 of the family's 1533-position model. The record is from RNAcentral.
GAUGAACGCUGGCGGCGUGCCUAAUACAUGCAAGUCGAGCGAACAGACGAGGAUCUUGCUCCUCUGACGUUAGCGGCGGACGGGUGAGUAACACGUGGAUAACCUACCUAUAAGACUGGGAUAACUUCGGGAAACCGGAGCUAAUACCGGAUAAUAUAUUGAACCGCAUGGUUCAAUAGUGAAAGACGGUUUUGCUGUCACUUAUAGAUGGAUCCGCGUCGCAUUAGCUAGUUGGUAAGGUAACGGCUUACCAAGGCGACGAUGCGUAGCCGACCUGAGAGGGUGAUCGGCCACACUGGAACUGAGACACGGUCCAGACUCCUACGGGAGGCAGCAGUAGGGAAUCUUCCGCAAUGGGCGAAAGCCUGACGGAGCAACGCCGCGUGAGUGAUGAAGGUCUUCGGAUCGUAAGACUCUGUUAUUAGGGAAGAACAAAUGUGUAAGUAACUAUGCACGUCUUGACGGUACCUAAUCAGAAAGCCACGGCUAACUACGUG